This 404-nucleotide ribosomal RNA is filed under the name uncultured archaeon. RNAcentral describes it as "bacterial SSU rRNA". It matches the Rfam family "Archaeal small subunit ribosomal RNA", at positions 526 to 834 of the family's 1478-position model. The record is from RNAcentral.
CGGCCCAGCAAGUCGCUCCUGAAAUCCCAGGGCUCAACCCUGGGGCGGGGGCGAUACUGCCGGGCUAGGGGCGGAAGAGGCCGCCGGUACUCCGGGGGUAGGGGCGAAAUCCGUUAAUCCCGGACGGACCACCAGUGGCGAAAGCGGGCGGCCAGAACGCGCCCGACGGUGAGGGGCGAAAGCCGGGGAGCAAACCGGGCUCAGGUCGGCGUUGAGCAGACAAUCUGAUCAUCCAGCCCAACCACGCGCGUCAAUCCCUCAUCUUUACCAAGCCGACCUGGCCCGGGCUCAAAGGGGAUUAGAUACCCCUGUAGUCCCGGCCGUAAACGAUGCGGGCUAGCUGUCGGCUGGGCUUAGGGCCCGGCCGGUGGCGAAGGGAAACCGUUAAGCCCGCCGCCUGGGGA